UGAAAACCGAGGAAGAUGGAUGGGAUUCAACAGCAGCUGCAAGGAACGGCUGGCAGUAUAGCGGAGGCCAGAAGAUGCAUCAGUAAACAGCUCAACAGAUUCCAUUUUCCAUUAGGCCCAGAUUUGUUUCCUGAUCAUACCUUGUAAUGCCAAUGUAUGUCUGCACAAAGGACAUUGAACCAACAGUGGAUGGUGUUAUUUGAAACUAAAAUCCCAAAUGGAGCCACAAUGACCUCAUUGUCACCAUGCAAUGUUAAAGGAGUAAAAAAUAAAUAAUGAAAAUAAAUGCAAGCAAAAAGAUA
Molecule: long non-coding RNA, 302 nt
Organism: Polypterus senegalus (gray bichir)
Lineage: Eukaryota; Metazoa; Chordata; Cladistia; Polypteriformes; Polypteridae
Exons: 3
Source: RefSeq, a predicted model, not a curated record